UCUUUUCUCUUCAUUCUCUAAUGAAAAAGUCCAGAGAAAUUCCCCAAAAGUUGAAAACAGAAUGUGCUUGCCCAGCUCCGGUGUGAUCCUUAUGACAUACAAGGUCUUUAUGUUUGGUUUCUUUCCUUUGAUGUGAAUGAACUUGCCUGGAGUGAAGUGAUUAGUCAUGACUUGAAUGGCUCCAUCUUGGUAGUGUCGGUGGCUGAGUACCUAUCUAUAGCUCUUCAUGCCUCAGUAGGGGGUUGUAUGUAGGAGCUGCAAGGAAAGAUUUGCUGAUAUGUAAAGAAACCUUUGGAGAGCCAAACCACAACAGUAUGGAACAAACAACUAUGUUUGGGUUUGAUUCUUAACAAAACCAUGCUCUUUGUUUUGUAAGUUUUACUGACAAAGAUAAAA
RNAcentral lists this long non-coding RNA (396 nucleotides) under Junco hyemalis (dark-eyed junco). Its description in RNAcentral is "lncRNA (ENSJHYG00000017554.1)". Lineage: Eukaryota; Metazoa; Chordata; Aves; Passeriformes; Passerellidae. The record is from RNAcentral.